RNAcentral lists this transfer RNA (76 nucleotides) under Candidatus Woesebacteria bacterium RIFCSPHIGHO2_01_FULL_44_21. Its description in RNAcentral is "tRNA-Thr". It matches the Rfam family "tRNA". Rfam says of the family: Transfer RNA (tRNA) molecules are approximately 80 nucleotides in length. Their secondary structure includes four short double-helical elements and three loops (D, anti-codon, and T loops). RNAcentral also lists the same sequence under 1 other name. Lineage: Bacteria; Candidatus Woeseibacteriota. The record is from RNAcentral.
GCCAAAGUAGCUCAGUUGGUAGAGCAAUCCCUUCGUAAGGGAAAGGUCGUGGGUUCGACUCCCACCUUUGGCUCCA